Molecule: ribosomal RNA, 497 nt
Filed under: uncultured bacterium
Lineage: Bacteria
Description: partial 16S ribosomal RNA
Rfam family: Bacterial small subunit ribosomal RNA
Source: RNAcentral
GAUGAACGCUGGCGGCGUGCCUAAUACAUGCAAGUCGAGCGAACAGACGAGGAGCUUGCUCCUUUGACGUUAGCGGCGGACGGGUGAGUAACACGUGGAUAACCUACCUAUAAGACUGGGAUAACUUCGGGAAACCGGAGCUAAUACCGGAUAACAUGUUGAACCGCAUGGUUCAACAGUGAAAGACGGUCUUUCUGUCACUUAUAGAUGGAUCCGCGCCGCAUUAGCUAGUUGGUAAGGUAACGGCUUACCAAGGCAACGAUGCGUAGCCGACCUGAGAGGGUGAUCGGCCACACUGGAACUGAGACACGGUCCAGACUCCUACGGGAGGCAGCAGUAGGGAAUCUUCCGCAAUGGGCGAAAGCCUGACGGAGCAACGCCGAGUGAGUGAAGAAGGUCUUCGGAUCGUAAAACUCUGUUAUUAGGGAAGAACAAAUGUGUAAGUAAAUAUGCACGUAUUGACGGUACCUAAUCAGAAAGCCACGGCUAACUACGUG